This 448-nucleotide ribosomal RNA is filed under the name uncultured organism. RNAcentral's name for it is "partial 16S ribosomal RNA". It matches the Rfam family "Bacterial small subunit ribosomal RNA", at positions 331 to 796 of the family's 1533-position model. The record is from RNAcentral.
GUACACUCCUACGGGAGGCAGCAGUGGGGAAUAUUGGACAAUGGGCGCAAGCCUGAUCCAGCCAUGCCGCGUGAGUGAUGAAGGCCCUAGGGUUGUAAAGCUCUUUCACCGGUGAAGAUAAUGGCGGUAACCGGAGAAGAAGCCCCGGCUAACUUCGUGCCAGCAGCCGCGGUAAUACGAAGGGGGCUAGCGUUGUUCGGAUUUACUGGGCGUAAAGCGCACGUAGGCGGACUAUUAAGUCAGGGGUGAAAUCCCGGGGCUCAACCCCGGAACUGCCUUUGAUACUGGUAGUCUUGAGUUCGAGAGAGGUGAGUGGAAUUCCGAGUGUAGAGGUGAAAUUCGUAGAUAUUCGGAGGAACACCAGUGGCGAAGGCGGCUCACUGGCUCGAUACUGACGCUGAGGUGCGAAAGCGUGGGGAGCAAACAGGAUUAGAUACCCGGGUAGUCC